AUUGAACGCUGGCGGCGUGCCUAACACAUGCAAGUCGAGCGGUAACAGGUGUAGCAAUACAUGCUGACGAGCGGCGGACGGGUGAGCAAUAUUUGGGAAUCUGCCUAUUAGUGGGGGAUAACCCGGGGAAACUCGGGCUAAUACCGCAUACGCUCUACGGAGGAAAGCCGGGGACCGCAAGGCCUGGCGCUAGUAGAUGAGCCCAAAUCGGAUUAGCUAGUUGGUGAGGAACGGCUCACCAAGGCGACGAUCCGUAGCUGGUUUGAGAGAACGACCAGCCACACCGGAACUGAGACACGGUCCGGACUCCUACGGGAGGCAGCAGUGGGGAAUAUUGGACAAUGGGCGAAAGCCUGAUCCAGCGACGCCGCGUGGGUGAAGAGGGCCUGCGGGUUGUAAAGCCCUUUCGGUUGGGAAGAAAAGUAUUGGCCUAAUACGCUAGUACCUUGACGUAACCAACAAAGAAGCACCGGCUAACUCUGUGCCAG
RNAcentral lists this ribosomal RNA (488 nucleotides) under uncultured bacterium. RNAcentral's name for it is "bacterial SSU rRNA". It matches the Rfam family "Bacterial small subunit ribosomal RNA", at positions 29 to 511 of the family's 1533-position model. The record is from RNAcentral.